Molecule: unclassified non-coding RNA, 200 nt
Filed under: uncultured Tomentella
Lineage: Eukaryota; Fungi; Basidiomycota; Agaricomycetes; Thelephorales; Thelephoraceae
Description: sequence contains ITS1
Source: RNAcentral
CCGAAUUGUCAACACGAGUUGUUGCUGGUCCUCAAACCGGGGGCACGUGCACGCUCUGUUCACACAUCCACUCACACCUGUGCACCCUCUGUAGUUCCAUGGCGUGGGGGGCUCUGUCCUCCCGUUGUGGUCCUACGUCUUUACACACACUCUGUAACAAAGUCUCAUGGAAUGCAUGACGCGUUUAACGCAAUACAAUA